UACGGAGGGGGCUAGCGUUGUUCGGAAUUACUGGGCGUAAAGCGCACGUAGGCGGCUUUGUAAGUUAGAGGUGAAAGCCCAGAGCUCAACUCUGGAAUUGCCUUUAAGACUGCAUCGCUAGAACGUCGGAGAGGUGAGUGGAAUUCCGAGUGUAGAGGUGAAAUUCGUAGAUAUUCGGAAGAACACCAGUGGCGAAGGCGACUCACUGGACGACUGUUGACGCUGAGGUGCGAAAGCGUGGGGAGCAAACAGG
This 253-nucleotide ribosomal RNA is filed under the name uncultured bacterium. RNAcentral describes it as "partial 16S ribosomal RNA". It matches the Rfam family "Bacterial small subunit ribosomal RNA", at positions 524 to 776 of the family's 1533-position model. The record is from RNAcentral.